CAAAAUGAAUUCUCUUGGCUGUAGAGCCUCUGAAUGCCUUGAGGAGGAAUGUCAAGCUGUCUUUGGUGCUGAAACCAACUGUACCAGCACAUGAAGUUAAAAGACUAUCUUUGCAGAAUUGAUCCUCAAUAGCUGAGCUGGAGGAUUGGAAGGCUUUGAUACAUGCUGCCCUACUGCAAGAACAGGAAAGCUGACUACAGUUGUCAGACAAGAUGUUACUUCAUUUACAAUGAUGCUUGGUGCAGAAAACAAGUUAAGUGCAGCUAAAGCAGAGCCUCUAUAGAAGGCUAUCCAUAAGCAGGAAUGAAAACUGAAGUUUUCCAGUGAUCUGACCCAAAGCCACUGUUAUGAAUUUAUGGCCACCAUUGCAUUUGAGAACAUGCACAAAACACCUGAUUCAAUGCAUCUCAUACAUGAGCAAUACUUACUACUCCAAGUCUGCUGAAGCAAACGGGACUCUUUCAGGUUCUCCAAUGAAGUUUUGCCUGGGAUUUGCAGCUGUGG
Long non-coding RNA from Rhea pennata, 504 nucleotides. RefSeq lists it as uncharacterized. The record is from RefSeq and is a predicted model, not a curated record. The transcript is spliced from 5 exons. Lineage: Eukaryota; Metazoa; Chordata; Aves; Rheiformes; Rheidae.